Molecule: long non-coding RNA, 4492 nt
Organism: Homo sapiens (human)
Lineage: Eukaryota; Metazoa; Chordata; Mammalia; Primates; Hominidae
Exons: 2
Source: RefSeq, a predicted model, not a curated record
UGCUGUUUUUGUGAUAGUGAACAAGUCUCAUGAGAUCUGAUGGUUUUGAAAAGGGGAGUUUCCCUGCACAAGCUCUCUUCUCUUGUCUGCUUCCAGGUGAGACAUGCCUUUCACCUUCUGCCAUGAUUGUGAGGCCUCUCCAGCCAUGUGGAACUGUGAACACACAGUGUUCAUCCCCUCAGGAGGACACAGCUUUUGAGGUACCAUCUUGGAAGCAGAGACCAGCCCUCACUAGACACAAACUUCCUGGCACGUUGAUUUUGGACUUCAUAGCCUCUAGAACUGUGAGAAAUAAAUUUUUAUUAUUUAUAAAUUACCCUGUAUUGGAUAUUUUGUUAUAGCAGCACAAAAGGUCUAAGACAAUGACUGAAGGACGGAGCUAUAGGACUCAAAAGACCCUGGUCUUGAAGCCAGAAAGACCUGGCUUUGCCAGUAGCAUGGUAUUUCAAUUAAGUAUGAUUAAACACUCUUCGAGGGAAUAGAAAGGGGAAGGAAGAAUGGAGAUGGAUCAUUUGUUUCAUGCCUUUUACUUACGUGUAAGGAAUUAUGAGCAGGUGCCUAUGGAUUUUGGAAUAUGCUUCUCUAACACUAUAAAAAUUAGAAAGUGAAACUUAUAGCCACAAAUGUCCAUUUAAAAUUUCUAAUGACAAUGGAAGAAAUUAUUUAGACUCUCUCCUAAACUAUUACACCAUACAUCAUUGCAAAACAUUUUUUUUCAUUUUGCCCAACCUCCACUCCUGUCAUUCCACCACUCCUAUAGUAUCUAAAAUAUAGUUUCUUUUAGAGAGAUUGGUGCACCACUCAACUUGUCAGCUUGAGGGCUUUGAAUGGUGUUUUCUUUUUUUUUUUUAAUUUCAUGGCAAGCUGACUUACAAGUGACUCAACUGUAAGCUAAGACUUAUUAAUAGCAUGGUUUAACCACCAAAGAUAAUGAAUUCAAACAAUGUUACUCACAGCCUUUAAUGUCACAGCCCCUAAAAACAUUGAAAUGUACAUUUUUCACCUGCUAGUCAUCUUCAGUAUUCUGGAGAGGAAAUAUUCUUUCCUGUCCUUACAGUGGUUGUAUAUCUUAAAAGACGACUAUAUGACACUUGAAUAUUGAUAUUCAACCUUAACCAAAGCAGUCACAAGAAUACAAGCCAUUGACCUCUGGCCUUUUAGAUAUGUUCCCAACAAGUUCAUGUGUACCCAAUGAAAAAUGUUAAAUAAACUGAUAAACUUUAAACAUUUAAAAAUAUUUUAUUUAUUUACUUGCCACAGCUAGAUAAGAGGAACUGGGUUAAUUUUGAAACUCUCAGCUUCCUUUCCUCUAAACCAGUAGCUAUUGCUGGCCACUAGUAUGUUGUUUCCUUUGCAGGAAGUUGCAAAAAUGAGAAAGAAAAAAACGAAAAACAAAACCAAGUUGGUAUUAUUUUUAGCUUUCUUCUUAUUUGGAUAUAGCUACAGUUCUUUUUCUUAUGGUGAUUAACAUAACUAUUCAAGAGAGAAGAACCAAGCAAAGGGGAGUAGUAGGGAAUUAGUAGGGAAUUGUGCCAAAGGACAUAUGGCAAGGUUAUUGUCAGAAAGCUGAGCUGCUGAAAUCCAGACAGUUUAAGAGCUUAUCUGCUCUGCUCUGCUCCACCUAGGAGGACUCCUACUACAAUGCAAAGACUCAAGUUUCACCUUAAUUAGGUCUUUCCCAGGCCAGGUAUUAGUGACCUUGGGAAAAAAGUUUAAGCUUCUCAGCUUCAGAUCUUCCUCUGAAUAUUAGCACUGUGGUAAUUGGCACAGUGGUACCUAACCCUUUGAGGGUCCAGGAUUGUUUUAAUGGUGAGUGAUUUACAAACUGAGUUUAAAAGAGCAAGGAGGAUCCAAUUUCGCAAAAUUUCAUUAACUCUGCUUAAGAAAACAGUAUAUUAUAUUAGCUUAGAUCAGGAGUUGGGAAUCUAUAGCCUGCUACCAUUUAUUGUGUAGCCUGCAAAUGGUUUUUACAUUUUUAAUACAUUGGAAAAAAAAUUAAAGAAGAUUAUUAUUUCGUGAUGUGAAAAUUAUACAUGUUGAAAGGAAAACUUUAGAGUUUAAUUGAGUAAAGAAUGAUCUGUGAAUUAGGCAGCCCCCAGAACCAGAGUAGGGUUGGUUACAGCUGAGCAUUUGCCUUAUUUGAACCUGGUUUGAAGAGUUGGCUGCCUGUGGUUGGCUGAAGUUCAGCUGCUGUGAUUGGCUGAGACUCACUACUUGUUACAAGAGUAGGUUACAUAUCAAGUUUUACAUAUCAAGUUGAAAUAUAGUUUUUUAUGUACUGGGAAACCUUUAGGGUAAACUUAAAUUAUGUAAGGAGGCAGCUUUAGGCCACAAUGAAUUUAACAAUUCCUCCUUUUGGUCAACCUGUCAAUUUUGAGAGGAUGAUUAAUUUUGAGGUUGCCCAAAACUUUAGGCACUGACAUCACUUUUUAUCAUCAUAAAUAGAGUUAUUUGGUCUCUAAUCCCAUUGGAAAAUAGCAGAACACUGGAUUUUGUAAGGUGGGAACAAGGAAACAGUAUAGAAAAAAAAACUGAUUGGUUAACAUCAGAUUACUUUUUUAUUUUUUUGUCACCCAGGAUGGAGUGCAGUGGCACAAUCUUGGCUCACUGCAACCUCACCUUUCGGGUUCAAGCAAUUCUUCUGCCUCAACCUCCCAAGUAGCUGGGACUACAGGCGUGUGCCACCACACCCAGCUAAUUUUUGUAUUUUUAGUAUAGACGGGGUUUUGCCACGUUGGCCAAGCUGAUCUCAAGCUCCUGACCUCAGGUGAUCCACCCGCCCUGGCUUUCCAAAGCGCUGGGAUUACAGGCAUGAGCCACUGUGUCUGGCUGAGAUUGCUUUUUUGUAAGUAAUCUGUUGUUACUUUGGGUUACUUUUCUGUAAGGGAUAGAGCAGAGGGGACUUCCUUAUUAUACUGGAAUCUUCUGUCUUCAGGAGAAGAAAAAAAAAAACUCGUCUAUUUUGGGACCUGUUUUUUAAAGUUUUAGUUUGAUUUUGUGGUGCUUAGCAUGAGCGACUCCAUUUUGGUUUGGUCUGGUCUGCUUGGGAUUAGUGCAGGAGCUCAGUCCAAAACAAUGGCCUCUCAUAAUUUUGUUUAAUACAUGAAAUUCAAAUUUCAAACUUGUAGACAUUUGCUCUCUCUCUUAUUAUAUAAGUACCUACACAAUGUCCUCAAAUUUGCUUUUUGAUCUGUAAAGACUAAGAUAUUUAUCAUCUAGUUUUACAGAAGAGUUUGCAGAUCUUCUGGUUUAAAAGAGCAGGAGAUUUAGUGUCAGGCAGGUUUGGAUUGAGCCCAAGGGCUGCCAUUUACUGAUUGUAUGACUUUGAGCAAGGUAUUUAUCUUUUCUAAGCCUCAAUUUCCUCAUCUAUAAAAUGGGCACACAAAUAGUAUUUACCUUGGAGAGUUAAAUGGGAUAAUGCAUUUAAUGUGCUUAACACAGUGCCUAUCAGAUGCUUAGGGGCUCAAAACAUUAUUAUUGUUGUUGCUGUUGUUGUUUUACCCUAAAGUAAAUGAGACAAAAUAGCAAAGCUAGAUGAGGAGGAAUUUUUAAGAUACAUCAGAAACUGUAAUAGAUUCUAAAAUAUUAUAAUUAAGAAAUUUCAUACUUAUUUAAAAAGGCAUUUUCAAUUUAACAAUUUAACAAUUUAACCCUCUUAUAAGUUAAAAAAAAAAAAAAAGCCCGGCACAGUGGCUCACGCCUGUAAUCCCAGCUCUUUAGGAGGCUGAGGUGGAUGGAUCAGGAGGUCAGGAGUUCAAGACCAGCCUGGCUAACGUGGUGAAACCUCGUCUCUACUAAAAAUACAAAAAUUAGCUGGGGGUGGUGGUGCAUACCUGUAAUCCCAGCUACUCAGGAAGCUGAGGCAGGAGAAUCGCUUGAACCCGGAGGCAGAGGUUGCAGUGAGCCAAGAUCGUGCCACUGCACUCCAGCCUCGGCAACAGAGCAAGACUCCAUCUCAAAAAGAAAAAAGAAAUAAAAAUAAAAAGUCAUGCCCAGCUAUUUUGGGAGAACUGAAAUUACAACUCUAUCUGAGAAAAUAAAAUGACAGGACUCCACAGAAUCCAUAGAUAAAAAUUUAACUGAAGAGGAAUAUGGAACAGACUAAAGGAAAAAUUUUAUCAAGCUGUAAUCUUUAUACUUGUGCCUAAGGCCAGAACUUGAAACUGCUGAAGACAGUGUUUCUCUACAAAUGCACACAGGCACCCCAUUUUGAUGCACAGAUAGGUGUUUAUUUCUUUUAAGAAUAGCAGCUUUAUUGAGAUAAAUUUCACAUAUGAUACAAUUCACCAAUUUAAAGUGUACAAGUCAAUGGUUUUCAGUAUAAUCAGAGUUGUACUACCAUCACCAUAAUCAAUUUUAGAACAUUUUCAUCACCGCCCAAAAACCACUGUAGUCUCUCCCCAGUCCUCCACUCCUGGGAACCAUUAAUGUACUUUCUGUCUCUAUAGAUUUGCCUAUUUUGGUUAUUUUAUAUAAAUGGAAUCAUACAACA